Molecule: unclassified non-coding RNA, 332 nt
Filed under: Hevea brasiliensis (rubber tree)
Lineage: Eukaryota; Viridiplantae; Streptophyta; Magnoliopsida; Malpighiales; Euphorbiaceae
Source: RNAcentral
CAAACAUUCUGGCACCCACUGCUCAAUUCCGCCACCACCAAAAGCCCUAGAAUCGGCACAGCGCCACGAUGAACCAAGUAAUUACAUGUAACGAACACAUAAAUUACUGCCAAAUGAUGGAAUAUGAAGACGAAAUCAUGUGGUGAAAACAAUAUACAAUGAAGAAGAUCCAACAAGAAAUAAGCUAUGCUGUAUUCCAGAACUAGGGUUUGGAAUUUCGUAUUGGGAGCCGCGAAAUCGGUCGUAUUUGGAGCUUGGAGGAUUGCAAUUAUAGCCAUGAUUACGACGGGACUGCCAUGGGCGAGUGAUAUGAAGCAACUUGAAGCUUCUAG